AUUGGAGCUUGCUCCUGGAUUAGUGGCGAACGGGUGAGUAACACGUGAGUAACCUGCCCUUAACUCUGGGAUAAGCCUGGGAAACUGGGUCUAAUACCGGAUAUGACUCCUCAUCGCAUGGUGGGGGGUGGAAAGCUUUAUUGUGGUUUUGGAUGGACUCGCGGCCUAUCAGCUUGUUGGUGAGGUAAUGGCUUACCAAGGCGACGACGGGUAGCCGGCCUGAGAGGGUGACCGGCCACACUGGGACUGAGACACGGCCCAGACUCCUACGGGAGGCAGCAGUGGGGAAUAUUGCACAAUGGGCGCAAGCCUGAUGCAGCGACGCCGCGUGAGGGAUGACGGCCUUCGGGUUGUAAACCUCUUUCAGUAGGGAAGAAGCGAAAGUGACGGUACCUGCAGAAGGCUAACUAACGUGCCAGCAGCCGCGGUAAUACGUAGGGCGCAAGCGUUAUCCGGGAAUUAUUGGGCGUAAAGAGCUCGUAGGCGGUUUGUCGCGUCUGCCGUGAAAGUCCGGGGCUCAACUCCGGAUCUGCGGUGGGUACGGGCAGACUAGAGUGAUGUAGGGGAGACUGGAAUUCCUGGUGUAGCGGUGAAAUGCGCAGAUAUCAGGAGGAACACCGAUGGCGAAGGCAGGUCUCUGGGCAUUAACUGACGCUGAGGAGCGAAAGCAUGGGGAGCGAACAGGAUUAGAUACCCUGGUAGUCCAUGCCGUAAACGUUGGGCACUAGGUGUGGGGGACAUUCCACGUUUUCCGCGCCGUAGCUAACGCAUUAAGUGCCCCGCCUGGGGAGUACGGCCGCAAGGCUAAAACUCAAAGGAAUUGACGGGGGCCCGCACAAGCGGCGGAGCAUGCGGAUUAAUUCGAUGCAACGCGAAGAACCUUACCAAGGCUUGACAUGAACCGGUAAUACCUGGAGACAGGUGCCCCGCUUGCGGUCGGUUUACAGGUGGUGCAUGGUUGUCGUCAGCUCGUGUCGUGAGAUGUUGGGUUAAGUCCCGCAACGAGCGCAACCCUCGUUCUAUGUUGCCAGCACGUGAUGGUGGGGACUCAUAGGAGACUGCCGGGGUCAACUCGGAGGAAGGUGGGGACGACGUCAAAUCAUCAUGCCCCUUAUGUCUUGGGCUUCACGCAUGCUACAAUGGCCGGUACAAAGGGUUGCGAUACUGUGAGGUGGAGCUAAUCCCAAAAAGCCGGUCUCAGUUCGGAUUGGGGUCUGCAACUCGACCCCAUGAAGUCGGAGUCGCUAGUAAUCGCAGAUCAGCAACGCUGCGGUGAAUACGUUCCCGGGCCUUGUACACACCGCCCGUCAAGUCACGAAAGUUGGUAACACCCGAAGCCGGUGGCCUAACCCCUUGUGGCCUCGUUCGUGUUUGAUCGGGGCUCAGUGCGGCUGGAUCACCUCGCUAGAGCACUCC
This 1416-nucleotide ribosomal RNA is filed under the name Arthrobacter sp. NBGD14. Its description in RNAcentral is "bacterial SSU rRNA". It matches the Rfam family "Bacterial small subunit ribosomal RNA". Lineage: Bacteria; Bacillati; Actinomycetota; Actinomycetes; Micrococcales; Micrococcaceae. The record is from RNAcentral.